RNAcentral lists this ribosomal RNA (420 nucleotides) under uncultured bacterium. RNAcentral's name for it is "bacterial SSU rRNA". It matches the Rfam family "Bacterial small subunit ribosomal RNA", at positions 356 to 774 of the family's 1533-position model. The record is from RNAcentral.
AAGGAAUAUUGGUCAAUGGACGCAAGUCUGAACCAGCCGUGCCGCGUGAAGGAUGAAGGUCCUCUGGAUUGUAAACUUCUUUUAUCUGGGACGAAAACGGAAUUUUUAUCUCAAUUGACGGUACCAGAGGAAUAAGCCUCGGCUAACUACGUGCCAGCAGCCGCGGUAAAACGUAGGAGGCUAGCGUUAUCCGGAUUUACUGGGCGUAAAGCGCAUGCAGGUGGUUUUGUACGUUGGAUGUGAAAGCUCCUGGCUUAACUGGGAGAGGUCGUUCAAAGCUACAAGACUUGAGAUUGGUAGAGGAAAAUGGAAUUCCGGGUGUAGUGGUGAAAUGCGUAGAUAUCCGGAGGAACACCAGUGGCGAAAGCGGUUUUCUGGACCAAUUCUGACACUCAGAUGCGAAAGCUAAGGUAGCAAACG